RNA transcript from Osmerus eperlanus (European smelt), 1467 nucleotides. RefSeq lists it as uncharacterized. Lineage: Eukaryota; Metazoa; Chordata; Actinopteri; Osmeriformes; Osmeridae. The transcript has 6 exons. The record is from RefSeq and is a predicted model, not a curated record.
GAACACAGCUUUGCCUUUGACUUCAGUAAACAGAUACUUUGAAGUAAUUAACACUUACUUGAUCCACAAAUACGUUUAGCUGUAGUAGGACCUUAUUCUGUAGACUAAUUCCUUUUCUGUUCAUAGACAAUGUACCAUAUUGUUGACUUUUUGGACACGGGAGACACAGAAGUUGUUCCAGCCUCUUGGGUGGAAAAUGGAAGAAGCUACUGGCCUCCCUACAAAGCCAGGGAGCGAUGCAACAGGGCCAUAAUGGGAGCAGACCCACCUGAAGAAUCGUGGGCAAAUCAUAACAUCAGGAUCCGGGCAACUAAAAAUACAUUUAGUGAGGCACGGCUGCUGCUACCAAGGGCACUGCUGACAUCAGAUCUUCAAACUGAAGAUGAGGAGGACCAACGUCCAGCUUAUAGGAGAAGGAAGAGAAGAGGCACAAACAGAAUUUGGGACUCAGAGAGCGAAGAUGACAGCACACAUCUUCAACCCAGAGGGGUAAACACCAGGGCACCUUUAGGUUUACCCCCAGCACCAGUUAUUGCUCCUCCAACUCCCACCAGACCAGCCAUUGCUACAAGUGUCCCCAGACAAAACUUGAGCAUGGCAACCCCUGACCGGCCCAGGGUAAACAACCAGCCCACCAGACCAGCCAUUGCCACAAGUGUCCCCAGACAAAACUUUAGCAUGGCAACCCCUGACCGGCCCAGGGUAAACAACCAGGCCAUGUGUGAUCCAAUUCUCCGUGACAUUUUGACAACAAUGGAGACUAUCAAGCAUCAACAGCAAAUGAUUUUGCUACAUUUGCAAACAACUCGUCAACCAAUGGAGGUGCCAGAUGUUUCUGGCAUUCCAUUAACAUCGCUGGAUGAACUGAUCAAGCUUGAGGACAGCAUUGCUUCACAGGUGGAAUACAAACGAAAAUUGGUAUGUGAAUGUUCAUGUAUUUGUUGAAUUGAUAUUUGCUGAGACUUUUGACCUAUGGUUCUUUUUAAAGAAAAAAAUUAAGAUAUGUGAUAUUAUAGAUUCAGUGCCUAUAAAAAUUAUUAUAAGCUAAUGGGGGCAAUUCUUUUCCUCUUUCAGGUCACCUUUUUUGGGCUGGCCUGGGGGUUGACAAUAAAGGAGACAGUGUGGAGAAUAAUGGCCAAACUAAUGACAAAUAAACUAGCAAAGCAAAUCAACUGGCGAGGGUUAAAUGGCAAGUAUGGCUUUGAGCCACUUGCCAUUAAAGAUGUUGUCCUCAAAUCUGUGCGAUGCAAUGCAAGUACUGCAUCUGCAUCCGAUGGAGAUGUAGAAAAGUUUAUUAAAAGGUGGCUGCAGCUUGCAUCGGACCGAGAUGGAGGAAGACGAGAGCGGGCAAUGAGACAAGCUAAUUCUUAAGUACAUCUCAAGCUUCAAAGGGGCAUGCUUGAGGAGGCUGCGGUCAUUACACACACAUACACAAACUGUAUUUAUUCAAAUAAAUUCUUAAAAAUG